AGCCGUUUAAUCAAAAUCCAA
This 21-nucleotide microRNA is filed under the name Malus domestica (apple). RNAcentral's name for it is "mdm-miR10981d". Lineage: Eukaryota; Viridiplantae; Streptophyta; Magnoliopsida; Rosales; Rosaceae. The record is from miRBase by way of RNAcentral.